This 440-nucleotide ribosomal RNA is filed under the name uncultured bacterium. RNAcentral describes it as "partial 16S ribosomal RNA". It matches the Rfam family "Bacterial small subunit ribosomal RNA", at positions 338 to 795 of the family's 1533-position model. The record is from RNAcentral.
CCUACGGGUGGCAGCAGUGGGGAAUAUUGCACAAUGGGGGAAACCCUGAUGCAGCGACGCCGCGUGAGUGAAGAAGUAUUUCGGUAUGUAAAGCUCUAUUAGCAGGGAAGAAAAUGACGGUACGUAACUAAGAAGCCUUGGCUAACUCCGUGCCAGCAGCCGCGGUAAUACGUAGGGGGCAAGAGUUAUCCGGAGUUACUGGGUGUAAAGGGGGCGCAGGCGGCGAUGCAAGCCAGGAGUGAAAGCCCGGGGCGCAACCCCGGGACUGCACUUGGUACUGCGAUGCUAGAGUGCAGGAGGGGCAGGCGGAAUUCCUGGUGUAGCGGUGAAAUGCGUAGAUAUCAGGAGGAACACCGGUGGCGAAGGCGGCCUGCUGGACUGUAACUGACGUUGAGGCCCGAAAGCGUGGGGAGCAAACAGGAUUAGAUACCCGUGUAGUC